CGGGGUGGAGUAAUGUCUGGGAAACUGCCUGAUGGAGGGGGGUAACUACUGGAAACGGUAGCUAAUACCGCAUAACGUCGCAAGACCAAAGUGGGGGACCGUUCGGGGCCUCAUGCCAUAAGAUGUGCCCAGAUGGGAUUAGCUAGUAGGUGGGGUAACGGCUCACCUAGGCGACGAUCCCUAGCUGGUCUGAGAGGAUGACCAGCCACACUGGAACUGAGACACGGUCCAG
This 232-nucleotide ribosomal RNA is filed under the name uncultured bacterium. RNAcentral's name for it is "partial 16S ribosomal RNA". It matches the Rfam family "Bacterial small subunit ribosomal RNA", at positions 104 to 334 of the family's 1533-position model. The record is from RNAcentral.